Homo sapiens (human) is the source of this 13673-nucleotide long non-coding RNA. RefSeq lists it as uncharacterized. Lineage: Eukaryota; Metazoa; Chordata; Mammalia; Primates; Hominidae. The transcript is spliced from 2 exons. The record is from RefSeq and is a predicted model, not a curated record.
CUCUUUUUUGGUUACAUAUGAACUUAAAGUAGUUUUUUCCAAUUCUGUGAAGAAAGUCAUUGGUAGCGACAAUAAUAUCUUUUCUUUAGAUUAUCUGGAUUAUGAAAGCAAGCACUUUUUUCAUUAAAACAAUUAUGUACUAGGAAAAACUGUCAUAAUGGUAUUAAUGUUGGCAAUAUUGAUUAUGAAAUUCAGGGAUAAAUUGCUGCCUAUGGUCUGUGUCUUCAGUAUUGUAAGCCGCAGCCAUCAUGUAAUUUCAGAUUAAUACCAAUUUUGUUCCCUGAUAGAUGGAGCUUAAACAGUAUAUCCUGCUUUAAAUUUCUACCUCUAGCAGAUCUGUAUUGGAGGGAGUUUUCCUUUGUAUUUUUUAAUGUAUGUUAUUCUGUUUCCAGUAGCUUGGAAAGUAGAGAUGACUAAUGUUUUAGCCUUUUCUUGGAGAAAAGGAAGAACUCUUGUUGAAUAUUUUCACAGAUGAUUGUGAUUGCUUUAAAUAACCUCUGUGGCAAUUUAAAUUAGACGGAUUUAAUCUCAGUAACAUGCUGGUCGCAUAAAUGUCAUGUUUUAACAGGAAAACUUACUUGUAAAUCUUUAGACCUUUGUUGUCACUUAGGCUGGGGACUCACUACCCUAUUUGGCAUCUUACUAGUUGGGGGGACCUUUUCUGUGUACAGUGAUGGGACUUUUGUGCCCUUUACUCUCAUUAUGCAAUAGAGAGUUUGAUGCAGUUAAUUUGACAUGUCAAAACUGGGAAGUCUGUAACCUGUUUUUGUGUUUGUUUUUAUUUUUUUAAGAUUUCUCUUUUUCAUGUCCCUCAUUACUUAGCAGAUGUUCAUUUGGUGGGAAUUCUUAUUUACAUGAAUGCUUGAAUUUAGUGGCAAGGAAGAAAAGACUCAAAUUAUUGUUUUUAAAGAAAAAAACUUGCAAACUACGUAUUUUUAAGAAAUCAAUUGAACAGAAAGGAAUGCAUGAUGUUUUCUGAAUGGCUUAGAUGUGCUUUUUAUUCACUGACUAACAUUCACUUUUUUACAACUUGUAUCAAAAGAAAUGAUCUUUGUUUUUCUCACAGGCAAAAACACGUUGACACUGGUGGGUUGGCUUUAUUAAUUAAUCUUUUUCUAUCAGGUUUUCUUUAAUAAUGUUACAUUUCUAAAUUGUAGCACAUGUUUUAGUUAAUUCUGAAAUCGGUUACUUCAUUUGUUAAUUUAUCCCUCAUAUCAUGAAUAUUGUUUUUUAAAUGUUCUAUACAAAUUUGCCUCACUUUUUUUCUUACAGCUUUUGCAGUUAAUACAUUCUAAACUUGAAAAUGUGGUUAUCAGUCAGUAAUAGAAGUAUCCCUGGAGGAUUUCUUUAAUUUUGUAUUAAUUUUAGUCCUAGCUACUAAAGUAUGUAAGCCUUAAAGUUUAAAAUGUUUUUCUUAAAUUAGCUGUAUACACAAACAUUUUCAUAUACUUUGUGAAAUGGGAGGAGAUAGUCCAUUGUUCUUGUGGGUUUUUUUCUUUAAUUUCCGUAUUCUGAAGCAGUGCAGAUACAGGGUACGCUAAUCAGUGAGCAAGGUGGGGAAUGUGUACAAUAUAAGGAGAAGCUGUAUGAAUCUCAAUAUAAAAUUAUGAAGUUUGUUAACUGUAAAAUAUACUGUAUUUAUAUGUAACUGUCAUUCUAAAAGUUGCCAUAAAAGCUGAAUUGGAAGCUUCAUGUCUGCAUGAAAUUUCCUAUAUUUUUAAUGUGUAUGAUGAAAUUAAUUUUUCUUGAAUAUUAAAAUCUGCCAAUCGCUACAAAAAGAAUACUGAAAAUCUCAUUUCUAGUUUUAAUAUAUUUUUGCAGGAUAUUUACAUGGAUUUAAUAUUGAAAGCAUUUAUGUCUUGUCAAUAUCGCAUAAGAGACAGUUACUUAGAUGCAAUAAAAACUUUAUGUACGUGUACAUAAAAACAUAUACUUUCCUGCAUCUUUGUUAGUGAAUAAGAUUUUUAGAAGGGAUUUUAAUUAAGGUUUAAAUAAGAGCUGGGGACAUGUGGAAUGAGAAAUAGAAGGCUCAUCAAAGUAUAUGUGCGUAUGUAUUCUUAUAUUUGUGUGUGUCUACAGUAAUGCUAUCUGGAAACUAGUGCAAUGAAAAACAAAACACAGCAGGAGUGAACUGAGGCAAAUGUGGCUCAGAAAGGUCUCUUUUGACCUUUAAACCUGACAUUUCUUUGUGGAUAUCACACUGACUCAUCCAAUGUCACACGUUGAACCCAGCGAUGUCUUUUCUUCCUAUUGAAAACUAGCCUUCUCAUCCUGUUUUCUUUAAUCUAUCACACAAGCUGAAUUCUAUCCACCCUCACUGCCAUAGCGCUUACAGAUAUCACUGAUAUCAUCUCUCCUUUCUGUUCACAUUUUUACAGUCUCAUUAUUUAUGUUGCUAAGCAUUUUCUUACAACUGUUCGAAGCCUACAGGUUAAGAUGUGGGUGGAGAUAUACACUAAAGACUUACUUAUUAGAUCUAUAAUGCCAGGGAUGAGUUCAAUAUAACAAACCAGUGGAAUGAUUCUGCUUCUCUUCUGACUCACUCCUUAAAAUGUGUAUUGAACAAAGGUGAAGUAGAAAAGUUGUAUUAGCAUUGUUUUAUUUUGCAUGACUUAAAAUGUGCUUUUCUAAUUGAUAAUUUAUCUAGUGCUGCCUCAGACUUGAUAAUUGGGUUCAUCAACAGAGCCUUGAAAAGUUUGGGUAGAGACCACAAAAAUGUAGUAGCUAUGCAUGAAGAUUAGCUGAUAGUUUAUCCGUUAAGACUGCUUAUGGAUGUAAGCAAUGAAAAUCUAACUAACAGUAGCUAAGAGAAAUAGAGAUUUAUGUUUUCAUGUAGCAUAGAGUCUGGAGGUUGGCAGCCGACAACUCUGUGAUGCCAUCAGCAACCCUACUUUUCUCCAUUUCUUAAAAUGGAAGAUUCUUAGAGUGUUGCUUUUACCGUGUUGUUUUUCUCAUCAUGCCUCCAUCUGCCAUCAUAUCUCAUCUGCCAUCCAGAUAGGAACAAGGGAAAAGGACUAAGGAGGAAAAAGGCAAGGAGAUAUGUCAGCUGAUUGUCCUUUUCUGUCAGGUUAGCAGUGUCUUCCCCAAAGGCCCCAUCUAGCAGAUUUCUGACUAUGUCUCUAUGGCCAGAACACACCGUGGCACACAUUCAUUCUAAACUGGAAGAUGGUUAGGAAAAAGGAAGGUGUGGGGGUGUGAAACCACCUGCCAAAAGUGUCACAGUUGUGACCAGUUUAUUUCACAGUUUGAGAUGACAUGGUCAUAAAGACCUUUGUCACCUUCAGAAUGCAGCAAAGCAUGAGAGAGUAUUAGAAGGCCGCUGAGAAAGACAAACAAGUUUUAGGAUUACAGAAGUAUUCAACAACCAACCAUUGAAGGUGCAAGAACUGGGCCAUCCCAUGGGUCCACCAGGGCUUUGACAAGGCAGGUGCUGGGGCAGAGCACUCUGGCCAGGAAGCAAAAGAUGAAGGUUCCCAUCUUGGCCCCAGCCUGGAUCUGUGCCCAGUGAUAGUCAUCAGCCUGGAUCUGUGCCCAUUGCAUUGUGUGGACAUACCACGCCAUGUUUCUCCAUCACCUUUUGAGGAAACUUCUGUUGUUUCCACCUUCUAACCGUCAUCAGUAAAGCUGCUGUGAACCUUCGCAUCCAGGUCUCCUGGUGAAAUGAAUGCACACAUCUCUCUUGGGUAUUAUGUGAGUGUCCCGUAGCUGCUGUAAUAAACUAUCACAAAUGCAGUAGCUUAAAACAACAUAGAUUUAGUCUUGUACAGAUCCGGAGGACAGCAGUUGGAAAGGAGACUCAUGAACACCUCAUGUCAAGUUAUCAGCAGCACGGGGCCCUGCUGGAGGCUGCGGGGGUGAGUCCAUUUCCUUGCCUGCUCCAGUUCCCAGAGGCACCCACAUUCCUUGGCUUUUGGCCCCUUCCAGAUGCAAGGACAUCUCUCCGACCUCUGCUCCCGUGGCCACAUCCCCUCCGCUGACUCUGAGCCUCCUGCCUUUCUCACUUAGGACCCUGUGAUGGCAGCAGGCCUAGCCAGUUAAUCCAGCCUCAUCUCCCUCUCCCAAAACCCUCAACUCUAUCGUGUCAGCAGAGUCUCUUUCUCCGUAUUGAGGUAGCGUUCCUUGGGAUGGCCAUCUUGCCCCGAAUAGGUUCCUUGAUGUCCCUGUACUGUUUGCAGGGACACAUUUACAAGUAGGAUUAAUAGCAUCUCCUCCUUUCAGGUCCCUGUGAGAAUCCCUUAGAAAAAUUUAUGAAGGUGGCCGGGCACAGUGGCUCAUGUCUGUAAUCCCAGCACUUUGAGAGGCCGAGGCGGGUGGAUCACCUGAGGUCAGGAGUUUGAGACCAGCCUGACCAACAGGGUGAAACUGUCUCUACUAAAAAUAAAAAAACUAGCUGGGCAUGGUGUUGGGUGCCUGUAAUCCCUACUACUUGGGAGGCUGAGGCAGGAGAAUCGCUUGAACUCGGGUGGCAGAGAUUGCAGUGAGCCAAGAUCGUGCCAUUGCCUGGGCGACAGAGACUCCAUCUCAAAAAAAAAAAAAAAAUACGUGAAGGCUCCCAGCCCCAUACCCCACGUGCAUACAGUCAGCGCCAACUAUCAGAAGCCGCUGCCGCUGCUGGGGAACACAUUGUCUCCAGUUCACCUGGAAUGAGGCGUGUUGUGCCUCAUGACUCCUCUGCUUUUGUCUGCAGGAAGGGUUAUUGUCACAGAGGGUCUGCAUUCUGGAAGCUUUCAUUGUUAUUCAAAUUGCCAGGUGCUCUGUUACCUUCCCACUUAGGUUGCAGGUACCAGCCCACCAGGCCUGCCAGCUGCAGACCCUCCUCACCCCGUGGGCCCUGCUUCCGAUUCCAGGCUCAGCUCCUCUCUCACUAGGGCCAGCAGGGCAGCCUGCUGCUCCCCAGCCUGCCCAGGCCACUGCCCUGGACGAGAGGGGCUGGCUGUGUGGCCCUGUGGUCAGCAGCACAGGCCAAGCUCCACUGCUAGCUAGAUAGGCAGUUUUGGGCUAGUGACAUUGUCUCUCUGAGCUUCAGUUGCCUCAUCAGCAAGUUGCAGGGACUAGUGGUCCCCACCCCUGAGGCUGCUGAGAGAACUGAGGCUACACACGCAUGGGAAGUGCUUGGCACAGUGCCCGGCGCAGAGGAGAUAAUCAGGACCCUGCAGCUCUAAUCUUGCCGGUUUGAGAAUUAGGAAUGAUCUUCUAUGUCAACUCCCCACAGCCUCGGGAUCAGGUCCAGACACCUUCUGGCAGAUGAAGGCCUUGUGGCUGCUGCCUCUCCAUACUCACCCCUGCCGGGAGCAUCUUGUGCCGCGACAGCCAUGCUCCUUGUGAUCCUCUGAAUGGCCUUGGCUGAGGCUGUUCCAUCUGCCCAGAGUGACCUGUCGUCCCAACAAACCUUGUCCAGGGCCCAGCUCUGUGGCUGCUCCCGAUCACUUUUUCCCCAAUCUCCACCCCGGCCAGGGCCCCAAGACUGCUAGACACUCACCACUGACACAGCGUGGGUCUGCUGCUCUUGUUUUGGGGUCCUGGUGUGGCUCCCCCACCAGCUUGGAGCCCUCGAGGGCAGGGCCCGCACCUGACUCAGUUCUGAGCCCCCAGCACCCAGCCCAGGCCUGGCGAAGGCGCCACAGUUUUGGCUUAUUGGAAGGCCUAGUGCGAGGGGCCAAGAGUUGACACUGAGUGAGGGGAGCACUGGUGGGCCUGGGCCUCGGGGUCUACGGGACUGGCAAUGAGGGGCAAGGCGACCUGCAGAGUGCCUAGGAGGACACGUGACUCCCGCAUCAGGGCAGGCGAGUGCUCUCCGUGGCAGGAGUCGAUGGCCACACAGGAACAGCUUCCUGCACUCACAGGCUACAGCCCCGCAUGUGACCAAGGCGUGCUUGCCAUGAAAGCAGAACAAGAGUUGACAUUUGCCAAAGAUUCCUUCCAGAAGGCUGUGCAAUGUGGAAGCGUUCCCGGGGCUACUGUGGGCUGAUGGGCUGGGCUGUGUCCACAGGAGUGAUAGCCCUGCUGGGCAGCGGUGAGGAUGGCCUACAGUGGUAUUAGGUGGGUGCCUAAGGCCCAGAGAGGUUAAUGACUUGCCCAGGGUCACACAGCUUGUGAGGGGCAGAGCUGGGACCUGAACCCGGGCUUGUCUGACACUGAGGCCGUGGACAUCUCUGCCAUGGGACUCUACGGUGCUGUGUGGUACAGGGUGUUACAAAGGCCUGUGGGAGUCAGACAAGCUGCGCUGAAGGGGCGCCCAGUGAGUGAGGUCUUGAAGGAUGUGUAGGAGUUUUCUAGGUGGAGAUAGGGGAGGGUGUUCCCAGUAAUGUGAAGAACACACUGGGGCUUUCUGGAAAGACUCCUUUGGAGUGGAGACCAUAAAACUGAAAGCGGUAAGAGUCCUGUUGGUAAGAGGCCCUGAGGCCCAGCUAAGACAUCAAAAUUUUACCCUCUAAGAAACUGUAAGUAGAAUGUUUUUUUUAAAAAGUCAUUGAUUUUGAAAUAUUUCAUUUUCUGCAAGAGAAUCUAGUAUAUAUACGUAUAUAUGUGUGUAUAUAUAUAUACAUAUAUGUGUGUAUAUAUACACAUACAUAUGUAUACACAUAUAUGUAUAUAUAUGAGGUAUAAAAAGUAAUGAAGCAAACACCACAUUUUCACCACUGGCAUGAGAAAUAGAGCCGCGUCAAUGCCAUAGCGACCCUCAGCAUGCCCCAGUGGCACACCUCCCCUCCUGGGUCCACCAGCCUGAAUUUGGUGCUUGUCAUUCCCAAACGGAGGUGUAUCCCCAGGGAGUGACCAAAGCUGCUUUGCCCUCCAGGGACACCGCUCUGGGGAAUGCAAAGACUGCCACACAGGGGCAGCCAUCGGGAGGCCUCUGCCAAAGUCGGGUGAGGCUGCCCCCACCCCAGAAUGGACAACCUCUUUAACAUAUCAGCCUGCAGCAGCAAAAAGGAGUGAGGAGGGGCAUGGCUGCUGCCACCCUUAUCCCAGAAGGGCCACCAUGGGCCAGGAAGUCCAGACUGUGGCCCACAGGCAAGGGUUUGGCUCUGCGUUGUAAAAGUUUUCCAGGGAACUGAGCAGCUUAAAAGGGAAUGGCCUGUAAAGGAGUGAGCUUACCAUUCCUGGGGGAAACCAAGCAGAGGCCUCGACCAUCACCUGGACCUCCUCUCCAAGCCUCCUCUGACUUUGUCCCUCUUCCCUCAGCCCCUGGGCUCCCUCUGUUCCAACCUUUUCCAGCCUAAUGGCACCGUCCGUGCCUGCAGACAGGGUCUCCAAGGCCAGAGACUGAAUAGUCACCAGGUCCUGGGCUGAGAAUGAGUCCAUGUCACAUUCUUCCCUUCCUGUGCAGCAUGGAGGUUGGAGAUGGGCUCUUGGGUCAGGCCGUAACUGAACCCAUGUCCAGCCUCUUGCAGAAUCCAAUGAACAGAGAGAGGUCUGGUAGAAAGAAAGGGACUUUAUCCCAGAGCUUGGUUAAGGGGGAACAUACAGGCUCCUGACUUAAGGGAAUUGCUUCAGCUUUUGGGGAGGAAAGUGGAGUCUUUAAAAGGGAACUUGGUGUGAAAAGCAUGCAGGGGAGGGGGUGAGGAGGUGCGGGGUCCACCUGACUUGCUUCUGUGUCUUCUCAAUUGGGUAGUCUGGAGGGCGCCAUGGUGGACAGAGCUAAGCUGUAAGCUGUUGUCUCGAGCCAAUCUCCUGGUGGGGGAGAAUCCCGGAGGGUGCCUGGUUUGGUUCAACAUUUUGUCCUGAGAAUUUCUAAGCAAAUCGAACUAUAGUUAGAUACGCUUGCAGUGCAGGGAGUGCCUGGUGGAGAGGAGGUAAAUGUUACAAUUGCAUUCCUGAAGAGCUAAGAGGUGAACACACAGGGAAAAAGAAAAAAGGUAAAGAUAAGUUCUAGGAAAAUUGGACACUUGGUUGCAAGCCCUCCUAAGCUGAAAUUCUGACAUUGUGGUCCAGCCACCACAAAGAUCAGAAGAACCUUGGGUCAUCUGCUCUAUUUUGGUACAUAUAUUUCUAUUAAUGCAACCCAAAGUCCUCUUCCUUCUCAGCUUCCCUUGGCAUGUGAGAAUAUCUGCCUGUCCCCACACACAGCCAUGCCAUGCACAAGCCCAGGGGCAGGAAGCACUUCUCAGAACCCAUUUGUGCAACCGAGGGCUCCACCCAGGAAGCAGCCCCCAUCCUGCUCUUUCCCAGCUCCCUUGGGCCUCUGGCUGUUUCUUUUUUUUUUUCCAAUAAUUUUUUUUUUUUUGAGACAGAGUCUUGCUCUGUUGCCCAGGCUGGAGUGCAGUGGCGCAAUAUUGGCUCAACUGCAACCUUCACCUCCCGGGUUCAAGUGAUUUUCCUGCCUCAGCCUCCUGAGUAGCUGGGAUUACAGGUGUGCACCAUUGCCUCUGGCUAAUUUUUGUAUUUUUAGUAGAGAUGGGGUUUCACCAUGUUUGAGCUGGUCUCGAACUCCUGACCUCGUGAUCCACCCACCUCAGCCUCCCAAAGUGCUGGGAUUACAGGCGUGAGCCACUGCCCCUGGCCUGCUUCUGGCCAUUUCUACCAUGUGGCCACCCUGUUGUAAGUUUCCACCUAAGAACAUAGGAGGGCAGGUGAGGACGCGCUUCCCUUUUUCACUUGCCUUGUGUGAUGUUCUCAGCUUUUCAGCCUCAUGGUCGAGUCAGCCAGGCUUCAUUCUGGUUUCCAACCCUUAGGUCUAGAAUGUUGAGCUGGUCACACCUCCUGGUCCCUAGCUCCAACAUCAGUGGCUGUGAUGGGUCCCUUACUGUACCUGCCCAUUCUCCCACCCUCCAAGCCUACUCCGUCCACCCCACUCUUUCAUCUUAAUUGAGUGUGAUGCCCAAAUUAUGCACAAUGCUGGGAACAUGGAAGUGUUUUCACUUGUCAUGUAUAGUAUUUCUCACCUUUGACCCAACGUUUUAUGUGCAAGACCUAUGCAUUCUGCCAUAGGCGCUCUUGCACCCUCACUUCUGAGAACUGUAUGGAAGACUGUAUAGGCACCAUGGAAUACUAUGCAGCCAUAAAAAAGAACAAGAUCAUGUCCUUUGCAGGGACAUGCAUGGAGCUGGAAGCCAUUAUUCUUAGCAAACUAACACAGGAACAGAAAACCCAAUACCACAUGCUCUCACUUAUAAGCGGGAGCUAAAUGAUGAGAACACAUGGAUACAUAGAGGGGAAGGACACACACUGGGGCCCACUGAAGGGCGGAAGGUGGGAGGAGGGGGAGGACCAGGAAAAAAUAACUAAUGGGUACUAGGUUUCAUGUCUGGGUGAUGAAAUAAUCUGUACAACAAACCCCCAUGACACACAUUUAGCUGUGUCACAAACCUGCACGUCCUGCACGUGUACCCCUGAACUUAAAAGAUUUGUGUUCGUUUUUGAGACAGAGUCUCGCUCUGCCAUCCAGGCUGGAGUGCAGUGGCGCGAUCUCAGCUCACUGCAACCUCCACCCCCUGGAUUCGAGUGAUUUUCCUGCCUCAGCCUCCCAAGUAGCUGGGACUACAGGUGCCUAUCACCAUGCCUGGCUAAGUUUUGUAUUUAUUUAGAGACGGAGUUUCAUUCUUAUUGCCCAGGCUGGAGUGCAAUGGCACGAUCUCAGCUCACCGCAACCUCCGCCUCCUGGGUUCAAGCAGUUCUUCUGCCUCAGCCUCCUGAGUAGCUGGGAUUACAGGUGCACGCCACCAUGCCCAGCUUAUUUUUGUGUUUUUAGUAGAGAUGGGGUUUCAACAUGUUGGUCAGGCUGGUUUUGAACUCCUGACCUGGUGAUCCGCCUGCCUCGGCCUCCCAAAAUGCUGGGAUUAUAGGCGUGAGCCACCGUGCCCGGCCUUAAACGUUUCUUAAAAAGAAGCAGCUCAUGCUAAUGCAGUUCCCUAGGAAGGUGACGGGUUGCCCCUGAAGACCAGCUCCCGGGCUUCUUUGGGAAGUACACAGAGAGAGGUUGCCGGAUCGUCCACAGAGCAUGGUGGUGAGUCCCCUUCGCGGGUGUUCACUUACCUUUCAAAUCAUCUGAUCUCCUAAGUUUGGCCGAUUUGAUGGAUUUAAAGUGACAUCUCACUGUCUUACGAAUUUUGUUAUCUAGGUAAUGAAUAGAUUUUUUUUAAAGCAGUUUUAGGUUUACAGAAAAAUUGAGCGGAAAGUACAGAAAUUGCCCAGGGGAGGAAGGGUGGGAAUUCAAGACUAAGGUUCAGGGCAGAGGGCUCAGCGUGUAAGUGGCAUUAAUGCCACAAAUCAUGAAUCUCAAUGACUAACACCCAGGAAAGGAAAGCAGAGCAUGGGAGGUGGCUGAGGACAGCUGCCCAAGCCUGCCUGGUCUCUGCAUGGCUCUCCAUUGUGCAGGAGCUGUUGUUUUUGACCUGGCAUCCUGCUGAUGGAGACUUCACUGAUCCUAAUCUUCUGCUGUGACCCACCUUUGUGUGAUGAAUGUGCUUGUACCUAUGUUGCCCUUGUGAGCAUGUCUGUAGGAUAAUCGUUACGUGAGACUGCUGGGUCAGAGGAUGUGGGCAUCUGUACCGUAGGCAUGUGUCAAAUUGCCUUCCAAAGAAAUGACCCCAGCAUCCCCCCCACCAGCAGUGAAGCAGAAACCCAAACCAGCAAAUGCAUUGGGUGCUCAGCCCUUUUGAUCAGUGUCAGGGUGGCAAGUGAAGGAAUGCGGAUGCUCCCUUUUGUCUGCGCUCUGAAAUCCUCUCUCAUUAUGGCUUUAAUUUGCAUUUCUCUUAUUUUAGAGUUUGGAUUUGCUGUUUGACAGUUUCUCUCUUUCUUCUUGGCAACUGGUCUGUUUAGAUUCUCCCUUCCCGGAUCCUUUGGGUAAUUUCUCUUUUCUUGGAAAUUGAUCCAUUUCUUGGAGGCUUCCUGGUUUCUGUAGAGUUGAGCAGGCAGUCGCUUUUGUUCUUCUGUUUGUUCAGUUCAUCUUAAUUGAGUGCUGACCCUGUGCUGGGCAUCGUUAUUGGCCCUGGGGAUAUAGUCAUGGGCCAAAAGCAGCAAAAAGCCUGCUUUUAUGGAGACUGCAGACAGUUUUUAAAAUGUUUAUGUGAAAUAUAUGGACUUUUAGACAGCGAUAAUGCAUUUGAGGUAAAGGAUAAUUUUAAACAUGUGGCCAAGGGCUCACUAAAAAGGUGACUUAAAGGAGAUCAGGGAUUCAGCCUUGGGUUUAUCUGGGAGAAGAGACAGGAGCAUGCUGGUACAGAUGGUGUAUUAGUCAGUGUGCUCCAGAGGAACAGAACCAAUCGCAUAUAGACACAUAUGAAGACACACACUGUAGGUAAUUGGCUCCUGCAGCUAUGCAGGUUGAGGAAUCCAAAGGUCUGCAGUUAGCAAGCUGGGGACCCAAAAGAGCCGAUGAUGUGAGUUCCAGUGUCAGUCGAGGGCCUGAGACCCAGGAGAGCCAAUGGUGAGAGUUCCAGUUUGAUUUGAAGGUCUGAGACCCAGGAGAGCUGAUGGUGUGAGUUCCUGUUUGAUUUGAGGGUCUGAGACCCAGAAGAGCUGAUGGUGUGAGUUCCAGUGUGAGUCGAUGGCCUGAGACCCAAGAGAGCUGAUGGUGUGAGUUCCAGUGUGGUCGAGGGCCUGAGUCCCAGGAGAACCCAUGGUGUGAGUUCCAGUGUGAGUCGAGGACCUGAGACCCAGGAGAGCUGAUGGCAUGAGUUCCACUAUGAGUCAAGGGCCUGAGAGCCAGGAGAGCCAAUGGUGUGAAUUUCAGUCCCACCCUGAGUCUAAAGGGAGGAGAAGAACGAUGUCCCCACUUAAAGGCAGGCAGAGAGUGUGAAUUCCCCCUUACUUGUUGGUUCUGUUUAGGUCUCCAGCAGGUUGGAUGAGGCCACCUGCACAGGGGAGGACACUGUUUUCCUCCAUCUGCCAGGUCACAUGUUCCUCUCAUCAUGAAACACCUUCACAACACACCCAGAAAAAUAUCCCACCAAAUAUCAGGGCACCCUGUGGCCCAGUCAAAUUGACACUAAACAAACCAUUACCGUUGGAGUGGAGAGAAUGAAAAGGAAAAGAGUGAGGAAUAGGACAGGGAGGUGAUGGGGUGGGAAGGGCUUUAGCUUCUACUCUUAGUGAAUCUGGGAGCCACUGAGGGUUUUGAGGAAAGGGGUGGCAUAAUUGGACUUAGGUUUUCACAGGGCUUCUCUGGCUGCUGUGUUGAGAGCAGAUGGAAGGGGCUGACCAGCACAGACACCCACUGCAAGAAUCCUGCUAGUGUGGACCACAGUAGGAGUGGUGGAGGCAGCAGGAAGUGUAAGGCUUGUUGAGAUUCCAAAGGAAGGGCCAAUGGGAUUUGCUCCUGGGUUGGAUGUGGAGUGUGAGAGGAAAAGAGGGGUCAAAGAUGACUCCAGGCCUCUGAGGAGAGCAACUGACAGGAUGGAGUUGUAUUUCCUGAGGUCAGAAAAAUUGUGGGAAAAGCUAGAUGGGGGAGGAAGGUUGGGAUUUUCGUUUGGGAUAUAUUAAGUUUGAGGUGUCUAUUAAAUAUCAAUUUGGUGACAUCGAGUAGACACGUUGGCCAUCAGAAUGGAGUUUAGAUGAGAGUUUGAGGCUCAAAAGUCAUCAGCGUAUCUCCAGCCUGGGUGACAGAGUGAAAUUCCAGCUCCAUCUCAAAAAAAAAAAAAUCAACAUAUGCUGUUUAAAUCCUUGGGAAGAGAUGAGGUCCAUGAGUGAGUAGAAAGAGUGAAGAGGAGGUCAGGAAGAUGUGGACGGACCAACAAGGGGCUGGAGCAGGAGCAGUGGGAGGAGGAGGAGGACCAGGAGAGGGGAGUGCAGUGUCCUGGAAGCAGGUGGAGUGAUCACUUGAGUCAAUGCUGCUGUGAGGAUGAGUGAAAGGGGGACUGAGAAUUGACUACUGGGUUUAUUAACAUGGAGGUCUUUGGUGACCUUGACAAGGGCAAAUUCUGCAGAGAAGUUGGAAGAAAAGCCUGUUGGGAGGGGCUAAGGGAUGGUGAGAAGUGAAACUGGAGAGCAAAAGUGCAGAGAAUCCUUCCAAGCAGUCACCUCCACCUUCUAUGUAUUAUAUCUCCUGCUUCAUUAGAUUCCCCAGCAGGAACAUGUCUCACUAUUUUUCAAAGAACGAGUAGUUGGGGCCAGGGAUGGUGGCUCUUGCCUGUAAUUCCAGCAUUUUGGGAGGCCAAGGCAGGGGGAUUGCUUGAGGCCAGGAGAUCAAGAUCAGCCUGGGCAAAACAGCAAGACCCCAUCCCUACAAAGAAUUUUUAUUUAAUUAGCUGGGUGUAGUGGUGCACACCUGUAGUCUUAGCUACACAGGAGGCAGGGGCAGGGGAAUCACUUGAGCCCAGGAGUUUGAGGUUGCAGGGAACUAUGAUUGCACCAUUGCACUCCAGCUAGGGUGACAGAGCAAGAGCCUGUCUCUAAAAAAAUAAAAUAAUUUAAAAAUUAAAAAAAGAACAUGGAGUUAUUUAUGAGUUCCUUUCUUCUGCUGUUAACUCCAUUUCUGUUUUCAUCUAUUUAUUGCUAUUGUAUGUCUUUCUUAGGUUUGUCUUUCUUUUCUUUUUGAGUUGGGCAAUUCAUGCUUUCUAAUUUAUUAAUAAGAUCAGUGUUUUAAGGCUAUAUAUGUUCCUCUUAGCAUUGGCUCGUCUGCAUCCCACAGGUCCUUAAAUAUAUAUUUUGUUAUAGUCUAGAUAUUCUGCAGUUUUUAUUUUUUGCUGUCUGUAACUCAAGUUUAUUUAAGUGUUUAUAGACUUCUUGGUGGCAAA